Long non-coding RNA from Etheostoma cragini (Arkansas darter), 192 nucleotides. RefSeq lists it as uncharacterized. The transcript has 3 exons. The record is from RefSeq and is a predicted model, not a curated record. NCBI's taxonomy places the organism in Eukaryota, Metazoa, Chordata, Actinopteri, Perciformes, Percidae.
CUUCUCCUCUCCUUCAACUAAAAUGAAUGUUUGAUGCUUUCAUAUGUCAACACUUUCACUAACAUUAGGUUAAAGACCUAAUUUACCUGUUGGGCCACAGACUAAAGAACAUGACACCACCCAGUAGCAGUCAGUCCGACCGUUGAAAUGUUACUGCUCGAAGGGUUUUGGUUUAUCAAAGACGCUAGCAAA